Molecule: long non-coding RNA, 6967 nt
Filed under: Populus trichocarpa (black cottonwood)
Lineage: Eukaryota; Viridiplantae; Streptophyta; Magnoliopsida; Malpighiales; Salicaceae
Description: long non-coding RNA (PTRI_LNC002926)
Source: RNAcentral
CUCAAUGACUUGCAACAACGCCCUUGUCCUCAAGGGAAAACUGUGGAAACCUCAAUGCAAGAUUCUCUGCAAGCUCCCAUGCAGCUUCUGCACGAGACAAACCUUUCCAUAGAACCAGCACAUGGGUAGCAGCUUGGUUGAAACGCUUAACAAUCCUUCGAUCCAACACUGCCUGGGGUAGAAGCAAAGGCUCCUUCGGCAUCACAGGUAAAUCAUCUUGUACCUUCCUGUUUCCCACAUGUUUUUUAAGUCGAGACACAUGGAAAACUGGAUGGAUUGAGGUAGAAGAUGGUAAAUCCAGCUUGAAUGCCAGUCCCAAAUUAUUCAAUCACCUUGUAGGGACCAAAGUAUUUGGCUGCUAAUUUGUGGGAGGGCCUUUGAACCAAGGAAUUAUGCCUGUCGGGCUGCAAUUUGAGGCAUACCCAAUCUCCCGCAUUGAAUGUACGUUCACUCCUCUUCUUGUUAGCUAACUGAGUCAUUCGGUGCUGAGCCGUCUGUAGGUUCUUCUUGAGUGCCCUGAGCAUGUCUUCUAUGUUUGUUAAAUACUCAUCCACAGUAGCUAUGUUAGAGUCCCAGGGAAAAUAUGGAGAAUGAAAAGGGGGUGCUUGGCCAUAUAAAGUUUCACAAGGAGUAGUCCUUAUAGACGUACCACCACUCAGCUAAGGAAGCCACUUAGAACACUGGUUCGGUGAGUCUCCUAUCAUACAUUUUAGGUAACUCUCCAAGCACUUGUUAACAAUUUCUGUUUUCUCGUUAGUUUGUGGAUGAUAGGCAAUGGAAGAAUGCAAUUGUACGCCUGGAUAAGAAAAGAAAUGUUUCCAUAACUAACUAAGGAACACUGCAUCCCUGUCACUCACAAUGGUGGCUGGAAGGCCAUGCAAUUUGUAGACAUUCUCCAUGAAUGUUAUCAUUGUUGUAUAAGGAUGGUUGAGGGACAUGAAAUGUCUAUAUUUGCUGAGUUUAUCCACCACCACAAAUAUAACUUCCUUCCCAUAAGAUUUAGGAAUCCUUCUAUAAAAUCCAUACUAGCAUCUGUAAAUGGAAACUGAGGUAUGAGUAAUGGUUGUAGUUUAACACAUGUUGUCUUAUUCUUUUGGCAGAUAGAACGCUCCUUUACAUAUUGCUUGGCCUGUUUCUGUAGUCUCUUCCAAUAAAAAAGAUUGCCUACCCUUUUAGCUGUCAUUGUUGAUCCAAAAUGUCUUCUCAUGGCAGUGUCGUGGUACAUGGAAAUCAAUUGUAGUUUAAGCUCCUCCACAUUACCCACUACUAUCUUUCCCUUUCUAUUUAAAUGAUAAUUCACCCAUUUAUAAUGAGGGUGAGAAUUAGGAUUAUCUUGUAGAUCUUUUAUAAUGCCUUGCACCACACUAACCUGCUCCCAUGAUUUCCUAACCUCAUUCAUAAUGGUAGUAGAAGCUGUAGACAUUACCAUAGUAAAAACUCCACAACUGGAACUCCUAGAAAGUCCAUCAGCUACUACAUUCUCCCUGCCCUUUUUAUAUUCAAUAUCAUAGUCAAAUCCUAGAAGUUUUGUCAUCCAUAAGUGUUGGGAAGGAUAAGACAACCUCUGCUCUAGGAUGUAUCUGAGAGUGACUUGAUCAGUAUGGAUGGUAAAAUGUAUGCCUUAUAAGUAGUGUUUCCACUUAGAUACAUCAUGUAGAAUAGCUAGCAUCUCAUUUUCAUAGGUAGAUAGAGCUUGUUGUCUUGAACCCAAACAUUUACUAAUAAAAGCUAUAGGAUUACCACCUUGCAUCAACACUGCCCAUAUACCAUUCCUAGAUGCAUCAAUUUCAAUUAUGAAAGGUUUUGUCAAAUCUAGUAGUGCCACCAUAGGGGGUUGAGUCAUAACCUCUUUCAGUAUUGAGGAAGUUACGAGUCCUUCCAGAAUCAACCAUAAUAAAAAGAAAAUGCUUGUUAACCUUACCAGUCACUUUAAGGGUAUGAAACCCGUUAGUACCUUCUAAAGCAUUUAUAGAUAUACGAGGGGUACUUGUUCCCAAGUUCUGAUCUUAUACCUCAGUUUCCACUUCUCCAGUGUCUUCUCCAUCAUCAUUAAUGAUACAAAGAGAAUAAAGCCUUUUGUUCCUGCACUUAUGCCCUGGCAUAAAUUUAUCAUCACACCAAAAACAUAGGCCCUAUGCCCUCCUCUAUUCAAACUCUUUACUCCUCAAUGGUUUGGUGGUUUUGAUGGGGUUUCUGUUAAUCAAGUUUGGAGGGGGCGUAGAUAGUAUGCUAUCUUGGGAAAUUUUGGUAUUGUUUAGUUUUUGUGUAGAGGAAUUUUUUAGAUGAGCAGGGAAGGAGUUGAGUCUGGUGUGGGAAGAGUAGGAGAUAGUUUGAGAAGGGUAUUUGGUAGGGCUUCGAUGGUUUCAUCUGUAGGAUAAGGUGUUAUCCUGUAAAUGAUCUAGGUGGUAUGCUUCUUUUAAGGUUUUAGGUCCAAACAUCUUCAUCAAGUUUUUUAUUUCAACCUCCAGACCACCUACAAAAAAAUACCAAUGCUUGUUUAUCUGAAAUGUCAGCUCUAUUCCAUAGAACAUCAAAGUCCUGAAUGUAAGUCUCCAGAUUCCCAACCUGUCUAAGCUCCAUAAGCUCUUUUAAUGGAUCCUUUUGGCCCCCAAACCUAGCACAUAGGCCUUCUAAAUAAUCCCCCCAGGUAACCCUUUCAUUUCCCACACCUUUCAUGAAAUUUUGGUGCCAGUACAAGGCAACCCCAUUCAAGUAAUAAGAAGCCAAUUUCAGUUCAGUUUGUCUGACUCUACUUAAUCUAUUUCAAAGCAUUGGUUACAUUUGUAUAGCCAUUUAUGGACGUCCUCUCCCUAAAAAAAGUAGGAAAGUCACGUUUAGGCUUAUGUACCUUGUGGUAAGUAGGUUCUCCUUCACAGGGAAGAUUGAUUUGAGUAGUUGUAGCAUACUAGCAUUAGCCUGCAGUGUGUGUUUCUCCUUGGUGGCACUAGACUCCCCAGUCUCUUGUUGUAAGGCCUGAAGAAUAGAUGUUUAUUGGUAUGUCAACCUACAGAUGAGGUCCUUUAAUUCACCAAGUUUGAUUUCAUGGUUAUACCUUGUAUUUUUCAAUUUCUGUUCAUUAGAGUCCGGUAGCUUCAUCACCUGGCCAUGAUUAUGUGCUUGUUCCUUAAACCUAUAUAAAUUAAUAGUUUUAGGGAUCAUGAAAUUUUCUUAAUUAAUCAAGAUAUUAUUUAAACUUUAAAUUUAAGUUAGGACAAACAAAAAUAUUAUUUAAUAGAAGUUAUUAGUUUAUCAAGAUUAUACUAUAUAUGUUAUAUAUAUAUAUAUAUAUAUAUAUAUAUAUAUAUAUAUCUUUGGUAAAUGAUGAUGUUCGCAAAAGAAACCAUAAAAAAUAAAACCUUCUAAUGAUAUUGUUCGCAAAAGAAACCAUAAAAAAUAAAACCUUCUAAUGAUAUUAAUAUACACAAUGUAAUGGAAAUUAUAUAUAAGGAAACUACUAAAUGAAAUAAAUAAAAUAGAAAUAAUAACAAACAAAGAGAAAACUCCAUCAUUUUAUUCAUGUUGGUCUUACAUCUAGAUUGGACUUGAAUCAACUAAGUGUCUGUUUGUUUACAUGGUUGCGGCAGCGUUUAAAGCAAACCACAGAUUUAGGCUGUUUGGUAAUGAUAAAACACAAUUUAUUAUUCACGUGGGACCCAUGUAAAUUAGAAGGAGAUCGCUUGAUGACGUAGCAUUUAUAAAAUUUGAUCGCAAUUCUAAUUUUGUUCCUGAUGAUAUUUUAUCCGAUGUUGUUGUGCGCUUAAGAAACCAAGAAAACUAUAAUCCUUGUCGGAUGGAUUUCGUACGUGAUGAAAUUGUAGAUAGUUUAAUGGAAUAAUAAAAAAUAUUUGAUAUAAGUAUUAUUUAUUUCAUGAUAUAAUAGCAGUAGUUAAAUUUACAAUAUUUAAAUUAUAAACCAUCAAUAUAUAUAUAUAUAUAUAUAUAUAUAUAUAUAUAUAUAUAUAUAUUAAUUAUUUUAUAACCUCAAUUUGAAAAGCAUUCUUUUAACCAAACACAUUAAACUAUUUUUUGUUCAACCUCAAUUUCAACCACAGUUUUAACCAAACAUAUAUAAAUACCAAAUCAUCCUCGACUAAAAGUAUUUUUUGUAAAAUAAUUUUUUUUAAACCACAAUCAUAAAACCUACCACAAUACCAAACACACUAACUCGGACGAAUUCAAUAUAAGCAAUCAUUGAACAAUGUAAAAUCAUAAAUAAAUUAAACAUGCAAAGAUGAUAUAUCAAGUAGACACAACCAUGUAAAAAUUAAAAUCAAAUCAAAUAGCUUUCACAUGUCCUUACCAUGUAUAAAUAUAUUUGCUUUUUUUAUAUAUAUAAUUUCACACACACAAAUAUAUACAUGACUAGCCUAUGUGUCUAUUAAGGUUAAUGGACGAAAACAAGGUUGUUAAAAUCACGAGUUAACUCGUAAAAUUAUAUUCAACAUAUAUUUAUUGUGUAAAAUCACGUAAAAAUCAAAAAAUGAUAAAAUCUAAUUGAAAUCUAAUUGAAAUCAUGUGAAAUUAUGUAAGAUCAUGAUUUUACUUUUGAUUUUAUAAAUUUUCAAUUAUUAUCUUUCUCAUUACAUACUCUUAUGUUUAUUCAUUAAUGCAUGAGCCCUAUAAGCGCUUAUAUUCAUAGAUUCUUUUUUCAAUCAAUAGUGUAAGGAUGAAGAAAACAUAGUCUUGCUUAAAUCCUUCUUAACAAAUAAACAAUUAUCUAUUACGAGACAGAACUUUGAAAAUUCUUAUUCUAUAAGGAUAUUUUUAUGAACAAGAGUGACAAACCAUAUUCUAAAGUCUGAUAUACUAUGUGUUUAUAUCUAAAUAUCAUAGUCUUUUAAACAAGUUUAUAACAUUAUGAUUUCUCUAUAAAAAAUCUUAUAAUUUGUCUAAAACAUGAUCUAACAAGGAACCAGACUUCAAGAUUAAAGAAAAAGGUCUUACUUUGAAUUGUUUGAUUCAUUCGUUUUAGUUCAUACAAAGACUACAAUUUCUUAUUGACCCACUUGUUGAUAUUCAAUUCCUUUUUGAUUCACAUGUUGAGAUUCAUAGUGUGUAACAAACAAUAUCUUAAACUUAUAAAAAUAUAACAAUAUUUAAAAGAAAGCAUAACAAUAUCUAAAAGUAAUGUAUUAUUUAUCAAGGCAAAAGAAAUCACAUAAGUCAAAACAUUAUAGAUGAUCAUGCAUUUGGAGAGAGCAUUGGAACUGGUAUUAGCCAACAAGGAAGCAUAGUUGUGAAGACUUAGCUGUUUUCAAUGUUUUUUCUUAAACGUAAAAUCUUACUAACCACUUCCAACUUUUUUCCUUGAAUCUUGCAUGGUAGGAUUUUAUCAUGCAAAAACAAGUGCAUUAUAUCUUUAUUUAUAGAAUUGCUUAUUGUUUGUAUGACCAGCGUAUGGAAAAAAAAAUACUUAUGAUUUUACAAUUUAUUUUUCCUAUUCAAAUUUAUAUUGUAUUUUUUAUAUCAUGUAAAAAAAAACAUUUAUUACAACCUUGGACGGAAUUCUAACCAAGGGUUUAUAUUGUCUUGAUGUGAAAACACGAAAAUAAAAAAAAAUGAAAAAAAUCAGGAGUUUAGUUGGAUUGGAUUGAAAACUCAGAAUAGCUUUCGACCAAAUAGUAGGGGUGAUCAUUUUCGGUUCGGUUCAGUUUUUUUUUUUAAAAAAAGUAACCAAACCGAAAUUUAAAAAAAAAAAACCGAAACCGGUUCAAACCGACCGAUUUCGAUUCGGUUCGGUUUUUUUAGAACAAAAACCAGUUCAAACCGGUUUGGCUCGGUUUUUUCCGGUUUGGCUCGGGUUUUUCGGUUUGGCUCGGUUUUGGCUUGGUUUUUCGGUUUGGCUCGGUUUUGGCUUGGUUUUUCCGGUUUGGCUCGGUUUUGUUCCGGCUUUUUUUUAGUUUGGAUUCGAUUCGGUUUGGUUUUUUCGGUUUCAGGCUUAAAAACCGAACCGAACCGGUCGGUUUUUUCAAAAUUUUAAUCGGUUUAAUCGGUUUUUUUUCACGGUUCGGUUUUUUUAGUUAUUUUUUUCUGGUUUUCUCAAUUUAAUCAGUUUUUUAGUUUUUUUCUCACCUCUACCAAAUAGUUUAUUGCAUGUAAUUGAGGCGAUUGAAUAUUGUGUAGUUGGGAUUCUAGUUUAGGAUCAUCAUGGCAUCGUAUUACGGAAAGACAGUAGAAAAUGCACACAGCUGCCAACUAGUCAGAAAACCAAAUCUAAACCUAGCAGCCAGGAGAGGAGACAAAGCCUCACAAAGUGGUACAAAAACAGAAAACAAAAUGAGUAUGAAGGUUUUCUGUGUGCUUGCAUAUGACAUAUUAUCAAUGGGGGAAAGAGAAGACCCAAGAUUACAAGAGGUUUUGUUGAAAAAAAUAAAAACCUAUCUCUAUCCUCUCUUCUAUUCAAAAUAUUUUUCUUCCAAGAGCAAGAUAACCCCCUUGCAGGUUCUUUUCUAUCAAUCGGGGCCCUCUCCUCACCACCUUCAUGGGAAUGGUCUGCAUGAUUCAUAACUACUGCUCUUGUUCACAAAAAGCAGCAUCUACACUAUAUUUUUCAAUAUUGUCUAUCCAUUUCAUAUGGACAAAGUUUUCCAACUUCCAUGUCCUCAACUCCAAAUCACAUCUCAUUUUGCUAGCACUUCUCAGGGAGUCUAAAGAAUAAAAUUACUAGUAGGAUCCCGAUGGAAUCUCACUGAACCCACUUCACGUUCUUGCUAGAGAAUUGAGGUGGUUCUUGAUCUGCUGCGUAUCUUUGAUACAAAAUGGUGCAUAUUUUCCCAAUGACUUGUGAAGAGUAUUUGACAGGAUCUACGUUGUCUCAGGUUGUUCAAGUGUUGAAGAAUUUCUUUAUCUGGGACUAUCUGUAGCGUCUGAAUUUGGAGGGGUCACCCAAGAGUGCUUCAUGAGAGGUUGUUUGCUGAUUUACCACUGAAUUACAUGUAAGCGAUACUUCCGUGAUGCAACUGUCUGC